UGCAGUCUUUCGGGCUGAUGAUCUCUGCGUAUUACCAUGAGCAAAUCAGAGUGCUCAAAGCAGGCUUUAUAGCUUGAAUGUUUUAGCAUGAAUAAUGAAAUAAGCCUUAGGUCUUGUUUCGUUGGUUUACUUGACACUGGGAAUGAUGAAUAGGAACGGUUGGGGGCAUUGUAUUUGGCCGCUAGAGGUGAAAUUCUUUGGAUUGGCCGAAGACAAACUACUGCGAAAGCAUUUGAGCCCAGGACGUUUUUCAUUGAUCAGGGACUAAAGUUUGAGGGAUCGAAGACGAUUAGAUACCGUCGUAGUCUAACCACAAACUAUGCCGACUAGCGAUCGCAUGGAUACUUUUUUUGUUCUAUGCGGCAGCUUAGCGAAAUAAAGUCUUUGGUUCUGGGGGGAGUAUGGACGCAAGCUGAAACUUAAAGGAAUUGACGGAAGGCACCACCAGAGUGGAGCCUGCGGCUUAAUUUGACUCAACACGGGGAAACUCACCAGGUCCAGACAUAAGAAGGAUUGACAGAUUGAAAGCUCUUUCUAGAUUUUAUGGGUGGUGGUGCAUGGCCGUUCUUAGUUCGUGGAGUGAUUUUGUCUGGUUAAUUCCGAUAACGACGAGACCGUAUGAAAUAGUUGGAAGGCCCAUCUUUUGAUGGGUGGCAUGAGACUUUUGUCUCCCUUCCGCCUAUUCGACUACUGAAUUCAAUUCAGGGAAGUAUGGCAAUAACAGGUCUGUGAUGCCCUUAGAUGUUCUGGGCCGCACGCGCGCUACACUGACAAAGUCAACGAGUUUUUUCCUUGGCCGGAAGGUCUGGGUAAACUUUUGAAACUUUGUCGUGCUGGGGAUAGAGCAUUGCAAUUAUUGCUCUUCAACGAGGAAUUCCUAGUAAGCGCAAGUCAUCAGCUUGCGUUGAUUACGUCCCUGCCCUUUGUACACACCGCCCGUCGCUACUACCGAUUGAAUGGUCAUAGUGAGCAUGUGGGAUCGACGUUUUCACGGUGGCAACACCGAGAAGAUGUUGAGAACUAUGGCAAACUAGGCUAUUUAGAGGAAGUAAAAGUCGUAACAAGGUUUCCGUAGGUGAACCUGCGGAAG
This 1090-nucleotide ribosomal RNA is filed under the name Hesseltinella vesiculosa. RNAcentral describes it as "SSU rRNA". It matches the Rfam family "Eukaryotic small subunit ribosomal RNA", at positions 721 to 1823 of the family's 1831-position model. The record is from RNAcentral. Lineage: Eukaryota; Fungi; Mucoromycota; Mucoromycetes; Mucorales; Cunninghamellaceae.